AGGAGGGCUUGGGCUUAGCGCUGGCCUUGCACUCCCAGACCAGGGUGUCGUCGAUGGGCCUCUGGGCAUCCUCGGGCUUCUCAAUCAGGCUCGCCGAACACAUCGCCUGAAGAGGGUUUCACCACAAAGACAAAUUCUGCUUAAUUCAAUUAACAUUAAGGCCCUGUAAGAAGUUGUAUUUUCGCCUCUCUAAGAAAUAGGGAUCGAACCAACAACCUCUGUCUCUUUUCCUCUUCUGCACAGUAGCCUACUACCUUAUGAUGAAUGCUUCAGGAAGCUUUUAGACAAUGCUAAAUUGAAAAUACAUUACUUUACAAAAACAGAUACCAAAUGACAACCACCCAAGCUAUUACAAAUGGGACCACCAAGGAUUAGAUAAUGAAAGGAAGACGGCAGAACUUCUUGGAGUCAAUUUGAUCCGGUGCAGGCCCAUUCAAAUGCAUCUGACCACUACAUGGUUUUAUUUCAUAAAUUAUGUGGAACUCGGAAGAGCUAUUAAGUGGGAAAUUGAAAGCACUACACCGCCCCAUAUGGAGCAGAAGCCAGCGGUGGGUCCUUACUGGGAGCACCAGAUCCCUGUAUUGAUUCUCUUAUUCUGCUAUAGAGUUGAUGGAUGUCUCACAGGCACCCAUCCAUGGGAGCUCAAAAUGAGAUUACAGAUUUUUAUCACCUGGCAAGGAGCCAGUUUGUGUGGCUUUGAAAGAAGACAGCACCGAAAGUUAACAAGGACAAACAGCGCUUCCCAUACAACUAAAGCUGAAUAAAGCGGGCUUUGAGACCAAUGUCAAGUGUUUGUGCAACAGCGGCGAGAGGAAGCUUCUUUCAUCUGACUUGCAGUCCUGCAUCUUCGGCCUGGAAAUACGGGAUCUCCAGAACGCCGCUGGCCUUGUUCACAUCCACCUUCCGGCCAAACGGA
Hypomesus transpacificus is the source of this 916-nucleotide long non-coding RNA. RefSeq lists it as uncharacterized. The transcript is spliced from 3 exons. The record is from RefSeq and is a predicted model, not a curated record. NCBI's taxonomy places the organism in Eukaryota, Metazoa, Chordata, Actinopteri, Osmeriformes, Osmeridae.